CGCGUAGGCGGCCUGAUAAGUAGGAGGUGAAAUCCUGGGGCUUAACCUCAGGGCUGCCUUCUAGACUGUCCGGCUCGAGCACAGUAGAGGCAGGUGGAAUUCCCGGUGUAGCGGUGGAAUGCGUAGAGAUCGGGAAGAACAUCGGUGGCGAAGGCGGCCUGCUGGGCUGUUGCUGACGCUGAGGCGCGACAGCGUGGGGAGCAAACA
Molecule: ribosomal RNA, 207 nt
Filed under: uncultured bacterium
Lineage: Bacteria
Description: partial 16S ribosomal RNA
Rfam family: Bacterial small subunit ribosomal RNA
Source: RNAcentral